RNAcentral lists this long non-coding RNA (2203 nucleotides) under Equus caballus (horse). RNAcentral's name for it is "lncRNA (ENSECAG00000049902.1)". Lineage: Eukaryota; Metazoa; Chordata; Mammalia; Perissodactyla; Equidae. The record is from RNAcentral.
CAGAUUUCUGAGGGAGGAUGGCCCUGCCAACAGCUUGGUCUCAGACUUCUAGACUCCAGAAAGCAGUUUUAGGAGAGGGAGUAAAUCCAGUCUCUUGUUUCUUCAUCUCGAGAGAAAGCAGAAAUCUGUCCUGGAGUACUCUGGUGUGGUGCUACCACGCAGAUGCGUGCUUCUAGGACAACCUGCAGAGGCUCUGAGCUAGGAUUCCAGAGACGCUGAAAUGAAGACGACACAGUCAUCAUCUGGUUGGGGAGAGAGAUACAUAAAACAAACAGAAGAUAAUGUGGCAAAUACAUUCAGAGAUAGACUCAGUGCUUCAGCUGCCCUGCCCUGGGGGAUCCAGUUCUACUGCGGAGCUCCUGGGGGUCCUGGAUGGGCUGGACCCUGAUCCUUCUGGACAGCUGAGAUCUAACAGGUGUGCGAUCCUUCACUGAAGCCCAAGGAAAGCAGAUGACCUUGGGCAAGUUAAUCCACCUCACUGGGCCUCACACCCAUAAAGCCAAAAGGCUCUGUUUUUAUAUAUCUAUAAAAGAAAUUUUAAGCACUAGGCUAGAUGUUGUCAAGGGUCCCUUCCAGCUUUCAGGAGCUAUUCCAUAUCUUUCUGAAACCCAGGAAGGAAGGUUGUCAGGAGUCCAUUCUGAGUCAGAGGCCAGCCUUGACUUCGUAAUGAGGAUUUGGAAUCAAUUUUCCAAAUGGAACUAAACCAGUAGCCUGCUCACUGGCAUAAAGCCUUCUCACCCUGGAUGGAAGGAGAGUUGGUCACAAGGCCAUUUGUAGCUCACAAAAAUUCCCACCAACUCAGUAAUCUACAGCACCAACCACACAGAGCCUAAAUUUAGCUUCCCUGAAAAGAAAACUUACUUUACCAAAAAUUAUAUUUGGAAGUCUUUGUGAGAUAGACUGAUUCUCCCAAAUCAGUUCAGAACCAGGCAAAAAAUCCUUGGUCUGAGAAUUAGGAGGCAAAUGAAAUUGUGAGGAUUAAGGAGCAAAGUGAAUAUGCCUUAAGUAUUCACUAAGCAAGUGAAUAUCCCUUUGAUUUCUCUCACAAGACCCAAGAUGGUGGAGAGACAAAAGGGAGGGCCAGGGGUGGUCUGAAGCCACCUCAAAGGGCUCACAGAGGUAGGGAUGGUCUCUACUCAAUUCUUCCAUCAUUGCUGAAAAACCGAAGGUGCCGAUCGUGUCAGGAUCCAGAGAGAAGUAACAGAAGGAGUAAAUACGCUGAGCCAGGAAAAAGCCCGGUGCUCUAAAUGCAGAAAGGCCAGAGUGGCUCAAGCAAAGUGAAUGGAAGGACGAUGGAACGAGGCUGAGAUGAGAGAGGCCAGCAGGCCCAGAUCCUGUGGGGUUCUGAGGCUCAGGGGAGGGGUUCGGGAGUGCGUGUGCAAACACACAGGGGUGUGCGUGUGUGUGUGUGUGUGUGUGUGUGUGUGUGUGUGUUUUGAGAGAAAGGAAUGAACGUGAUCUGACGUGUUUAAAAGGUCGCUCUUGGGGAUAAGGGUGACCAAUUACGAGACCAUAAAAUAAACCAGGCAGGAGGUAAAGAUGACUUGGGUUAGGGUAGUGUUAAAAGAUAAACUGAGGCAAAUUUAAAAUUUUAAGAGUUUAUUUGAGCAAAAUUCGAUUAUUCGAAUCAGGCAUCAGCAAACAGGGAGUAGUCAGGAGCACUCCACUGCCAGGCACUGAGGAGAGACCUACCGAGAGAAGGCGGGAGCAAACCAAGGAAAUCAUUGGCUCAGCUCAAAGCCUAGCUGGCUGUUUGUGAUUGGUUGUCCUUAGCGUUUCAUUUUUGUAACCUUGAGCCAUUUACGGGCUCAGAUUUGGGUUUGCUGAUAUAGGCCACCACAGCAUGACAGCCCCCUCAGUCUAGUGGCCUCUGGUUUAAUUAAUUUAACAGUAGCUACAGUGGGAGAGGUGCCAAGGGGGCCUAUUUGGGCAAUAGCAUGAAAGUAGGUAACAACAUUAUGUUGUAUAUUUGAAAGUUGCUAAGAGAGUAAAUCUUAAAACUUCCUAUCACAAGGCAAAAAAAUUUGUACCUCUGUGGUGUGAUGGAUGUUAACUAAACCUAUUGUGUUGAUCAUUUUGCAAUAUAUACAUAUGUCAGAUCAUUAUGCUGUACACUUAAAGCCAAUACAAUGUUAUGUGUCAAUUAUAUCUCAAUAAAAUUGGAAAAAAAUUUAAAAUAAAAUAAUUUCUAAAAGAAAGUAGA